GUCCAGACUCCUACGGGAGGCAGCAGUGGGGAAUAUUGCACAAUGGGGGAAACCCUGAUGCAGCGACGCCGCGUGAGCGAUGAAGUAUUUCGGUAUGUAAAGCUCUAUCAGCAGGGAAGGAAAUGACGGUACCUGACUAAGAAGCCCCGGCUAACUACGUGCCAGCAGCCGCGGUAAUACGUAGGGGGCAAGCGUUAUCCGGAUUUACUGGGUGUAAAGGGAGCGUAGACGGCUGUGCAAGCCAGAUGUGAAAGCCCGGGGCUCAACCCCGGGACUGCAUUUGGAACUGUGUGGCUGGAGUGUCGGAGAGGCAGGCGGAAUUCCUAGUGUAGCGGUGAAAUGCGUAGAUAUCAGGAGGAACACCGGCGGCGAAGGCGGCCUGCUGGACCGUAACUGACGUUGAGGCUCGAAAGCGUGGGGAGCAAACAGGAUUAGAUACCCCAGUA
This 446-nucleotide ribosomal RNA is filed under the name uncultured bacterium. RNAcentral's name for it is "bacterial SSU rRNA". It matches the Rfam family "Bacterial small subunit ribosomal RNA", at positions 329 to 792 of the family's 1533-position model. The record is from RNAcentral.